This is a transfer RNA of Belliella baltica DSM 15883, 73 nucleotides long. It matches the Rfam family "tRNA". Rfam says of the family: Transfer RNA (tRNA) molecules are approximately 80 nucleotides in length. Their secondary structure includes four short double-helical elements and three loops (D, anti-codon, and T loops). The record is from Rfam. Lineage: Bacteria; Pseudomonadati; Bacteroidota; Cytophagia; Cytophagales; Cyclobacteriaceae.
CGCGGGAUGGAGCAGUUGGUAGCUCGUCGGGCUCAUAACCCGAAGGUCACAGGUUCGAGUCCUGUUCCCGCUA